Molecule: long non-coding RNA, 664 nt
Organism: Trifolium pratense (red clover)
Lineage: Eukaryota; Viridiplantae; Streptophyta; Magnoliopsida; Fabales; Fabaceae
Exons: 6
Source: RefSeq, a predicted model, not a curated record
GGAAGCGUGGAUUUCCCCAAACUAACUUUUAGUGAAAGGGUGAAGCUUAGAGCUGGUGUUAACAAAAUCUCCCUUCUGAGUGUUGCAGUUGGGCUUCUGGUUCGUUUUCUCCCUCUCUAUUUGUGUCUUUCUGCACAUGGACUUGUCUAAAUAUAUUAUCUUUGCACAUCAAAACUAACUGAUUUUUCAGAAACAUAAACGGUAGUUGAUGUCAUGACUAUGUCUGAUUAGACGUGGUCGAGGGAGAAGUCGCAAUCCACCUCAGUCUUCCUUAGGCUAUGCUGAAACAAGAGGUUUCUACUGCAUCAUCAAAAGUCACUGCUCUUAAAAAAGGUGAUCGAGUAAAAUUUGUCGGUAACUUUCCACCUGCUGUCUCAUCACUAUAAAAUUAUUCUUCAAGGGCGGAUUCUAGCGUGAGAGCCACUUAUAUGUCUCACCCGUGAGAGACUGAAUUUUAACCGCUGGAUGAGUUAAACGGUUGUGAUGUUGUACCUGGAGAGGGGAAAAUUCCUGCAGUUAUACCAGUAUAUAGCAGUUGUGUUCGGAUAUCGGAUGAUUAACUAAUCAUGUAUAUGCCAGAAUAUGCAUUUGGUGAGAGUGGAAAACCUUCAUCAGGAGAUGAUGGUGUUGUGCCUCCCAAUGCUUCGCUCCAAAUGGAUCUUGG